CAGCCGCCGCGGGAAUACGAAGGGGGCUAGCGUUGUUCGGAAUUACUGGGCGUAAAGCGCACGUAGGCGGAUAUUUAAGUCAGGGGUGAAAUCCCAGAGCUCAACUCUGGAACUGCCUUUGAUACUGGGUAUCUUGAGUAUGGAAGAGGUGAGUGGAAUUCCGAGUGUAGAGGUGAAAUUCGUAGAUAUUCGGAGGAACACCAGUGGCGAAGGCGGCUCACUGGUCCAUUACUGACGCUGAGGUGCGAAAGCGUGGGGAGCAAACAGGAUAGAUACCCCAGUAGUCCCUGUCUCUUAUACC
Molecule: ribosomal RNA, 301 nt
Filed under: uncultured bacterium
Lineage: Bacteria
Description: partial 16S ribosomal RNA
Rfam family: Bacterial small subunit ribosomal RNA
Source: RNAcentral